AGUAACGGAGGAGCACGAAGGUUGGCUAAUCCUGGUCGGACAUCAGGAGGUUAGUGCAAUGGCAUAAGCCAGCUUGACUGCGAGCGUGACGGCGCGAGCAGGUGCGAAAGCAGGUCAUAGUGAUCCGGUGGUUCUGAAUGGAAGGGCCAUCGCUCAACGGAUAAAAGGUACUCCGGGGAUAACAGGCUGAUACCGCCCAAGAGUUCAUAUCGACGGCGGUGUUUGGCACCUCGAUGUCGGCUCAUCACAUCCUGGGGCUGAAGUAGGUCCCAAGGGUAUGGCUGUUCGCCAUUUAAAGUGGUACGCGAGCUGGGUUUAGAACGUCGUGAGACAGUUCGGUCCCUAUCUGCCGUGGGCGCUGGAGAACUGAGGGGGGCUGCUCCUAGUACGAGAGGACCGGAGUGGACGCAUCACUGGUGUUCGGGUUGUCAUGCCAAUGGCACUGCCCGGUAGCUAAAUGCGGAAGAGAUAAGUGCUGAAAGCAUCUAAGCACGAAACUUGCCCCGAGAUGAGUUCUCCCUGACCCUUUAAGGGUCCUGAAGGAACGUUGAAGACGACGACGUUGAUAGGCCGGGUGUGUAAGCGCAGCGAUGCGUUGAGCUAACCGGUACUAAUGAACCGUGAGG
RNAcentral lists this ribosomal RNA (626 nucleotides) under Shigella sonnei. Its description in RNAcentral is "partial 23S ribosomal RNA". It matches the Rfam family "Bacterial large subunit ribosomal RNA", at positions 2296 to 2916 of the family's 2925-position model. The record is from RNAcentral. Lineage: Bacteria; Pseudomonadati; Pseudomonadota; Gammaproteobacteria; Enterobacterales; Enterobacteriaceae.